CAAGGUUUCCGUAGGUGAACCUGCGGAAGGAUCAAUUAUCCGAACAAGAAGGGGGAAAGACUGUCGCUGGCGAAAGCAUGUGCACGUCCAACCUUUUCUAUUACACACCCGUGCACCUUUUGUAGGUCCUCGAAAGAGGAUCUAUGUAUUUCAUCAUCACACCUAUCGUAUGUCUAGAAUGUCAUCGUCGACCACUGGGCGGCGAAAUAAAUAAUACAACUUUCAGCAACGGAUCUCUUGGCUCUCGCAUCGAUGAAGAACGCAGCGAAUUGCGAUAAGUAAUGUGAAUUGCAGAUUUUCAGUGAAUCAUCGAAUCUUUGAACGCACCUUGCGCUCCUUGGUAUUCCGAGGAGCAUGCCUGUUUGAGUGUCAUUAAAUUCUCAACCAUGACUUUGUUGACAUGGCUUGGAGUUGGGGGUUGCUGGCUUGUUUGUCAGCUCUCCUGAAAUACAUUAGCGGUGGACAAGCAAGGCCUUCCGACGUGAUAAUGAUCGUCGUGGGGCGGAGCAUCAACGUCUGUCUGCUUCUAAAUCCCAGAUGCCUUAGCUAGACAUCAUUUCGAACAGCUUGACCUCAAAUCAGGUAGGACUACCCG
RNAcentral lists this ribosomal RNA (595 nucleotides) under uncultured fungus. Its description in RNAcentral is "eukaryotic LSU rRNA". The stretch from base 218 to 372 matches the Rfam family "5.8S ribosomal RNA". The record is from RNAcentral. Lineage: Eukaryota; Fungi.